AUACGGAGGGGACAAGCGUUAUUCGGAAUCACUGGGCGUAAAGGACGCGUAGGCGGGUUAUUAAGUCGGGUGUGAAAUCCUACAGCUCAACUGUAGUACUGCAUUCGAAACUGAUAACCUAGAGUAUGGAAGGGGCAGGUGGAAUUAGUGGUGUAGGGGUAAAAUCCGUAGAUAUCACUAGGAAUACCGAAAGCGAAGGCGACCUGCUGGGACAUUACUGACGCUGAGGCGUGAAAGCGUGGGGAGCAAACAGGAUUAGAAACCCGAGUAGUCC
RNAcentral lists this ribosomal RNA (274 nucleotides) under uncultured bacterium. RNAcentral's name for it is "partial 16S ribosomal RNA". It matches the Rfam family "Bacterial small subunit ribosomal RNA", at positions 523 to 796 of the family's 1533-position model. The record is from RNAcentral.